Long non-coding RNA from Dendronephthya gigantea, 1833 nucleotides. RefSeq lists it as uncharacterized. Lineage: Eukaryota; Metazoa; Cnidaria; Anthozoa; Malacalcyonacea; Nephtheidae. The record is from RefSeq and is a predicted model, not a curated record. The transcript is spliced from 3 exons.
UUGUAUCCCUAGGGGUGAACUGCUCAAUCAAGAACAAACGAAUGUUCUUGACCUUGCUUUGGCAGGCCACAAUGUUUUCUUUUGUGGUUCCGGCGGUACGGAGAAAACAUUAGUGAGUUUGGGAAACGCAACGCGAACGCGACGGCAACGUUGAAUUUUGCGCGGUUGGACUGGAUCGAGUUUAAGUUGACGAUGUCGCGUUUGCUGAAGUUCUGUUCACAACGGCAUUAGACAGACUUAGAUCGAGGACGUGACGUUAAGAGGACGCGAGAUAGCGUAAUAUGGCGCAAAAAUAUUGCGUUGUCUCAGAUGGCGACGUCGUCUUACCUAUUUUCAGGACGCCGAAAACGAAUUUUCACGUCCUGUCUAGGACGUCAAAGUUUUUGUUGUUUUUGUCCUUGCGAAAAGAUUUAAUGGUGGUCCUUUUAGAAAACCAAAUAUGGAAAAGAAAAAGGAUUGUUCAAAGAAAAAGUCCAGUAUGGUAUGGUCUAAUGAGAAAGAUCUCACACUUCUAAAGGAAGUUGCAGCAGAAGGUGUACUCACACACAAACAGAGAUCCCGGGAACGUGGUGCACAGUGGCAGAAUGUUGCAGAUAAUAAGUGGGUUGGGCCACGAAUUCACAUCAAGGGCAGUCAGAGAUCACUUCAACAUGAUGACCAAGAAGUAUCGAGCAAGAAUGGAACGAGAGGAAAGAUCGACAGGGGAAGGUGGUAAUGAACUCAGAGCAGGAGCGCUUGUUGGAAGAGCUGAUUGACAUUGAAGGUGAAACUGAACGACAGGAGGAUGAAAAUGAAGUAAGAAAUCAGAGGAUUGAGCAAGAAAGAGGACAAGCCUUGGAAAUGAGAGAAAGGGCAAUGGAAAGAAUUCGACAAACAAAGAAGACAACUGCAGGGACAAGUGAAACUGCUGGACAAGUACAAAAGAGAAGAAGUUCUGGUGAUAUGAUGGAAUGGCUACAACAAAGAAUAGAAGUGGAGAAAGAAGAAAAAGAGGCAAAGCAGGAAGAGAAGAGAGCAUAAAUGGAAGGGCAACAGAGGCAACACAUGGAAACUUUGCAGCUGAUGCAGCAAACCCAGCAGCAAUUUAUUGUGCAGAUGAAGCUAUCGGAGUGGAGAAAGAAGAAAAAGAGGUAAAGCAGGAAGAGAAGAGAGCAUAUAUGGAAGGGCAACAGAGGCAACACAUGGAAACUUUGCAGCUGAUGCAGCAAACCCAGCAGCAAUUUAUCACGCAGAUGAAGCUAUCGGAGCAGUACUUUCAGCAGCAACUGCAAAUGCAACAACAGCAGCAGCAGCAGCAGCAGAAACAAGAAUUCAGUUUUAUGCAGCAGCAAAUUGUUUCCUUGAUGCAGCAACAGCAACAGCGAACACAAAUGUUGGUGAACAUGUUCAAAAAAUAGUUUUAAUUAUAUUACAUUUUCAUCUUAAAAAAUAAGUUUCUUUCAUUUGUAUAUUUAUAGUAACAUUUUCAACAUUAAAUGAUUUGUUGUAAUCAAUUACCAUGAAUUUUAACAUUAAAUAAAUUCAUUAUAAAUUGCCAUGGAAACUCGUGAAAUACAUAUAUUGUUUAUAAACUGGUGGGCUGUUAACUACCCAAUAACCUAGUAAAUGUGUAAGUGUUAUUGCUAGAAAUAUUCAUGGAUUGAAGGUGGUGGAAGGUUAAAAAAAUGAGAAACAAUGUUCCCAUACAAGCAGGUAUGAGCAUUCUGUAGUAAUGCGGCCACACUAUCAAUCUUUUCAACCGGACUUAAAUUUACCUACAUUUGCCUCUUAAAAUCAACAAAGCUAAAGUACUUAGUAAUGUUUCCAAACAUCCACUCAACAGUUACCCUCACA